RNAcentral lists this non-coding RNA (949 nucleotides) under Scopelogadus mizolepis. RNAcentral describes it as "12S rRNA". It matches the Rfam family "Bacterial small subunit ribosomal RNA". The record is from RNAcentral. Lineage: Eukaryota; Metazoa; Chordata; Actinopteri; Beryciformes; Melamphaidae.
CAAAGGCUUAGUCCUGACUUUACUAUCAACUCUAACUAGACUUACACAUGCAAGUAUCCGCACCCCUGUGAGAAUGCCCUCCCCUCCCUGCCCAGGGAACGAGGAGCCGGUAUCAGGCACGCCCCGCAGCCCAAGACGCCUUGUUCAGCCACACCCCUAAGGGAACUCAGCAGUGAUAAACAUUGAACCAUAAGUGAAAACUUGAAUCAGUUAAAGUUAAUAGGGCUGGUAAAACUCGUGCCAGCCACCGCGGUUAUACGAGCAGCCCAAGCUGAUAAAUAUCGGCGUAAAGAGUGGUUAAGGAGUAAAACAAAAUAAAGCCGAACGCCCUCAAGGCUGUUAUACGCAUCCGAAGGUACGAAGCACCCCUACGAAAGUAACUUUAAACCCCGCCUGACCCCACGAAAGCUACGAAACAAACUGGGAUUAGAUACCCCACUAUGCCUAGCCCUAAACAUUGAUGGUAAGCCCACCCCGCCAUCCGCCCGGAAACUCGAGCACUAGCUUAAAACCCAAAGGACUUGGCGGUGCUUCACCCACCUAGAGGAGCCUGUCCCAGAACCGACACCCCCCGUUCAACCUCACCUCCCCUUGUUUUUUCUGUCUAUAUACCACCGUCGUCAGCUGACCCUAUGAAGGACCCAGAGUAAGCACAAUUGAUAAAACCCAAGACGUCAGGUCGAGGUGUAGCGUAUGAGGAGGGAGGAGAUGGGCUACAUUCUCUACCCCAGAGAAAUACGAAUGUACUAGUAUUGAAAUAUACAACUGAAGGAGGAUUUAGAAGUAAGUGAGAAACAGAGCGUCCCACUGAAACCGGCCCUGAAGCACGCACAUACCGCCCGUCCCCCUCUCCGAGCUUAGAAUCUCAAAAUAUUUAAACCCCCCCCCCGCUUAAAGGAGAGACAAGUCGUAACAUGGUAAGUGUACCGGAAGGUGCACUUGGAAAAAC